CCAGGCCCUCCUCCGGAAAGCCGCAACCCCGCGCGAACUUCUUCGCCCGUCUAAUUUUCAGCGAACCACCUGCUACCGCAUCCUCUCCGGCUCCCCUCGAUCUGCUCUACAUCGCCCCAUUAGUUCAGCCGCUGACCAUUCGAUCUACUCCGGUCGUUACUGCAAACAACACAACCCCCUCCCCCCCUGCUUGUCCCGUCCGUACACCAUCUCUUCUUUCCUGCUUCAGGAAAAUAUACUUCUCGGUACAUGUGGCUUGAAGCUGAGUUCCCCAAGGUAAACAGGAGCGAAACACCAUGGUUGAUCACUCUGAUGCAUGCUCCAUGCAUAGGAUAUCAGAUGUCGCAUAGAACAUUGUAAAUGGCUUGUGCUCCCCUGUCCCAGGCCAGUCUUCGCCGGUCUACAUAACCAUCGGGGAUGGGGCUGGCCACCAACAUGUCGGAGCUGCAACCAAGCUACUCGGCGUUUAGGGAGACGAGCUUCGGGCACGCCAUACUGGACACCAAGAACCACGGAAGGAUGAACACACGGCCAGGGUGGCUGACCUGGUGAGCGAGUGACUCUCAGUACAGAGAACAAAUCCUCAAUUUUUGAAAAGUUUUUAUUUCAGUACAGAGAACAAAUCCUCAGUUUUCAUUUCAGUACAGAGAACAAAUCCUCAGUUUUUAUUUCAGUACAUGGAUUGCUUAUACAAACUCAUGGGCUUGGCAAACUCUCACGCACAUCAUCACUAGAUGAUGUUGCAUAAGAUAGAGGUGGAUCUCGAAAUUUCAUUUCCACCAAAGAGUACAUUAAAAAGGCAUUUGUGCUUGAACAAGAAACAACCAUGAGCACUUACAAGUGCAUGAAAGUAGGAGCUAAACAACACAUUGAUGACUACGAGAAGGGUCUUAAAAGUACAUAUCCAGAAGAUUGGAAGGAGCGUGAUCUUGAUCCCGCGGUACUGUAUUCCACCGGUGGUGGCAUGCUUCAUGGAUGGCUUCCGAUAGGUGAUGGCGCGUUCAGGAAGUCACAAGUUGUUGGUGCUGCUAAUAGAAGCAAACAUAAAACCAACAAACUCCAUGUGUUUUUUUAUACCAAUGCUGGACUUCCUGUCCGAAGACCUUCAAGGUGACUCGAUGGAAGACAGAGUUCAUGUGAAUCAAUCUUCCCCAUCUACGGAAAAUGAUAGCACUCCAUUUAUGGCAUCAUCUCCUGCCGAAGAGCAAAGUGAUACUCCCCCAUCAGUCUAGCUUCAUACAGCUCGCAUGGGAGGAGUCACCUAUCUUAGAUGAAUAAUAAGCAUGAAUAUAGCUGGUACGCAUGUAGCGACCAUGCUGGAGUUUGACUUUCCUUUGUGAGCAGUUAUGAACCUGGGUGUUUCUACAUUUGCUUUGUCUCCUCUAUGUUGCCAAAAACAAGUGGCUGUUAUGCAUACAGUACGUGUCAUUAUGGAUCACUGUGUGAUUUGUUCAAUGCGAAAAAGAUAUUGAAUAUGAUUUGUCAAUCUGA
This is an RNA transcript of Lolium rigidum, 1491 nucleotides long. RefSeq lists it as uncharacterized. The transcript is spliced from 9 exons. NCBI's taxonomy places the organism in Eukaryota, Viridiplantae, Streptophyta, Magnoliopsida, Poales, Poaceae. The record is from RefSeq and is a predicted model, not a curated record.